Molecule: unclassified non-coding RNA, 310 nt
Filed under: fungal sp.
Lineage: Eukaryota; Fungi
Description: partial internal transcribed spacer region
Rfam family: Eukaryotic small subunit ribosomal RNA (bases 1-46)
Source: RNAcentral
AAGUCGUAACAAGGUAACCGUAGGUGAACCUGCGGUUGGAUCAUUACUAAAUCAAAAUUUUUACUUGGUAAAUUGAUUUUGAAGAGUUGAGUCUUUUUUUAUAUAAAAAAGAUUCCUUUUUGAAGUAAAUUUCUAGGUAAAAUUUUUUACCCAAUGUGAACCGUAUUUGUAUUUCGAGUUUUUAAGGUGCCUAAAAAACAUCUAAACUCGGUCUAUUUUCAAACCCAAUUUUUAUAUAAUUUUGUCUGACUUUUUUUUCUGACCAAGAAAAAUCCAAAAACAACUUUUGACAACGGAUCUCUUGGCUCUC